GGGAUGUCGGUCAGCACAUAUACUAAAAUUGGAAAGAUACAGAGAAGAUUAGAGUGGCCCCUGCACAAGGGUGGCAUGCAAAACAUAUGACUGGAUAGAGAAAAUG
Molecule: small nuclear RNA, 106 nt
Filed under: Chinchilla lanigera (long-tailed chinchilla)
Lineage: Eukaryota; Metazoa; Chordata; Mammalia; Rodentia; Chinchillidae
Source: RNAcentral